AACAGUAACGGAUAGUUACGACACCACGCUAUUAUCGGCUGUUACAACCUUUUAAGUUUUAACAGUUGACUUAUACAUCAGUUACAACUUUGCUAAAAGUAUCAAUGCUGUCAAAUCUAACGUUUCUGGUCGUUCUGCUGUUUGAUGAGACAUAAAAAGAUGCCACUAUGUCUAAGGAGGGGCCAGUGUUAUUACUGGAUGUGACUAUAGUUUCCGGAUGUAUCUGUGUUUAUUCCCGGAUGUUCAGAUUUGACUUUAACUGUGCCUGUCUUGAGAUGCCACUAUGUCUAAGGAAGAGCCAGUGUUAAUACUGGAUGAGACUAUAUUUUACGGGUGUAUCUGUGUUUAUUCCCGGAUGUUCGGAUUUAACUUUACCUGUGCCUGUCUAGUGAAUCCCACUCUGUCUAAGGAGGUGGACAGUUUUAUUACUGGAUAUGAUUAUAUUUUCCGAGUGUAUCUGUGUUUAUUCCUGGAUGUUCGGAUUUGAAUUUAACUGUGCCUGUCUUGAGAUGCCACUAUGUCUAAGGAGGGGACAGUGUUAUUACUGGAUGUGACUGUAUUUUCCAGGGAGAGGGGUAAAUUAAACAGAUGCGUGACCAGAAUUGUUCUGGGUCCAGAUGAAUGUUUGCCCACCUACUGGCCGGAAGAAUUAUGAAAGUGGUGUGUGGUAGACUUUGGCCAGUCUAGUGGGAAAGGACCUGCAACAGUAUAGUGUUGAAAGCCCCUGCUCCCUAAAAUGUAUGCCCGUUGCAGAAGGAUAACGCACAACGAUUGGCUGAUGGCGACGACAGUCUCCAGAACAUUGGGGAACUGGGCACAAUACUGGCUCCAGAACGUUGGGGAACUGGGCACGAUACUGGCUUUCAACAAAGUAUUAUUUCUGAAGAUCUUUGGGUGUCCACAUUAAAUGCAUAUGGUGAUACGACGAAGGAUCCCCAGUGUUCGUGUCUGAAAGAUACUUUAUCACCAACAGUCACAACAGCCAUCAGCACCAUGGUAUUGUAGCUGACGACGUCGACGAUGAGCUAGGAAUCUGUUUACAGUUUACAGGUUUACAGAAAAAGGAGGAACAGCCAGUUGUCAAGUAUGAUCACAACACGAACAUCUACAUGUACGUCAACACAACCACCUACGUCAACACCAACACCGUUGCCGACACUAGCAAUGGCGUCAACACAACAACCUACGGCAAUACCUCCACCAACACCUACGACGUAAUCAUAACCAACAAUGACGUCAAUCGCAUCUACAAGACCAUCGUUUUCUAAUAAAACAGCCUUUACCUGGAAAAGACGAACAAAAGCUUAACAAAAUAUCAAUGACGGCCCAGAUCACGUCAACAGAGAUGUUAACCCUAAUAACACUGAUGCCAUUAUUAACCCUUCUGUUGUUAACAACAAAAUACUGAUGACAGUUGGCAACAUUUAUGCGCAUCUACCACACAACACUGUACAGUAUGUUAACACGUCAUCCAGUGUUGAUGGAGACCACGUGCACCCCCACGUCAACGAACCGACACAAACACUGCUGGACGAUUCAUAGUCACCCAAGACUGAGUGAAACAUUUUGGACACUCGCCAUUUAAUAUGGGGAAAAGAGAUAAAUAAAUAUAUUAAAUGUGUGUAUUAGUCCCUUCCGGUCCAACCGAAAAGGAUUAUAGGUUUCGCCUACGUCCUUCUGUCCGUCUGUCUAUCCCACAUAGUUUUCUAGAUGGGUUUUUUUUUUUUUUUUGGGGGGGGGGGGGG
Molecule: long non-coding RNA, 1745 nt
Filed under: Gigantopelta aegis
Lineage: Eukaryota; Metazoa; Mollusca; Gastropoda; Neomphalida; Peltospiridae
Description: uncharacterized LOC121390041, transcript variant X2
Source: RNAcentral